AACGAACGCUGGCGGCAGGCUUAACACAUGCAAGUCGAACGCAUGCCUUCGGGCAUGAGUGGCAGACGGGUGAGUAACGCGUGGGAACCUACCCCUUGGUACGGGAUAGCUCCGGGAAACUGGAGAUAAUACCGUAUGUGUCCUGAGGGACAAAGAUUCAUCGCCAAGGGAUGGGCCCGCGUCGGAUUAGCUAGUUGGUGGGGUAACGGCCUACCAAGGCGACGAUCCGUAGCUGGUCUAAGAGGAUGAUCAGCCACAUUGGGACUGAGACACGGCCCAAACUCCUACGGGAGGCAGCAGUGGGGAAUAUUGGACAAUGGGCGCAAGCCUGAUACAGCCAUGCCGCGUGAGUGAUGAAGGCCCUAGGGUUGUAAAGCUCUUUCACCGGUGACGAUAAUGACGGUAACCGGAGAAGAAGCCCCGGCUAACUUCGUG
RNAcentral lists this ribosomal RNA (435 nucleotides) under uncultured bacterium. RNAcentral's name for it is "partial 16S ribosomal RNA". It matches the Rfam family "Bacterial small subunit ribosomal RNA", at positions 29 to 507 of the family's 1533-position model. The record is from RNAcentral.